GCUCAUUUAUACCUGAUAAAAACGGAUCCAUUGCCACUUCGGUAGUAGUUUGCCGCAUAAGUUCCUGCUGGGAGAGCAAUGUUCAUAUUUCAAUAAAAUGUAAAGUUGUUGUGUACAUGAAAAUAAUCGCCCUUGAGUUUUUGAUGAAAAUAUGGUCCCAGGCGCUCUCGUUCUAACUGGAGGGAAUGGAGACGUUGACAUGCCUGAAUUGUUUGACUGCUUUGAAUUCCUCCUGCACCAGGCUGCUGUAACCAUGUUUGCGGGAGCAUAGCGCCAGAAGUUGGAGCACGCUGUAAAUGUGUAGCUGUAAAGAGGAAAGAAAAAUUGGAUUUUUAAAUUGGUGUUCGCGCCUGUUCCCAUCCGUCAGGCAAAGGUCCCAACGAACUUGUAGCUGCACUAGAAUUUUUGGUACCACUUUCUACAGCUGCAGCUACGGCUGCCACACUAGCAGCAGCCGCAGUUUUUCGUGGAUCUUCCCAC
This is a long non-coding RNA of Athalia rosae (coleseed sawfly), 480 nucleotides long. RefSeq lists it as uncharacterized. Lineage: Eukaryota; Metazoa; Arthropoda; Insecta; Hymenoptera; Athaliidae. The transcript is spliced from 3 exons. The record is from RefSeq and is a predicted model, not a curated record.